This 497-nucleotide ribosomal RNA is filed under the name uncultured bacterium. RNAcentral describes it as "partial 16S ribosomal RNA". It matches the Rfam family "Bacterial small subunit ribosomal RNA", at positions 28 to 507 of the family's 1533-position model. The record is from RNAcentral.
GAUGAACGCUGGCGGCGUGCCUAAUACAUGCAAGUCGAGCGAACAGACGAGGCGCUUGCUCCUCUGACGUUAGCGGCGGACGGGUGAGUAACACGUGGAUAACCUACCUAUAAGACUGGGAUAACUUCGGGAAACCGGCGCUAAUCCCGGAUAAUAUAUUGAACCGCAUGGUUCAAUAGUGAAAGACGGUUUUGCUGUCACUUCUAGCUGCUUCCGCGCCGCAUUAGCUAGUUGGUAAGGUAACGGCUUACCACGGCAACGAUGCGUAGCCGACCUGAGAGGGUGAUCGGCCACACUGGAACUGAGACACGGUCAAGACUCCUAAGGGAGGCAGCAGUAGGGAAUCUUCCGCAAUGGGCGAAAGCCUGACGGAGCAACGGCGCGUGAGUGAUGAAGGUCUUCGGAUCGUAAAACUCUGUUAUGAGGGAAGAACAAAUGUGUAAGUAACUAUGCACGUCUUGACGGUACCUAAUCAGAAAGCCACGGCUAACUACGUG